Molecule: ribosomal RNA, 390 nt
Filed under: uncultured bacterium
Lineage: Bacteria
Description: bacterial SSU rRNA
Rfam family: Bacterial small subunit ribosomal RNA
Source: RNAcentral
AAUCAACGCUGGCGGCGUGCCUAAUACAUGCAAGUCGAACGCGAAAGUCCCGCAAGGGGCAAGUAGAGUGGCAAACGGGUGAGUAACGCGUGGGCGACCUACCUUCGAGUGGGGGAUAACCUUCCGAAAGGAGGGCUAAUACCGCAUGACAUCCCGUGUUUGGAUACACGGACAUCAAAGUCGGGGAUCGCAAGACCUGACGCUUGGAGAGGGGCCCGCGUCCGAUUAGCUAGUUGGUGGGGUAACGGCCCACCAAGGCUUCGAUCGGUAUCCGGCCUGAGAGGGCGGACGGACACACUGGGACUGAGACACGGCCCAGACUCCUACGGGAGGCAGCAGUAGGGAAUUGUUCGCAAUGGGCNCAAGCCUGACGACGCAACGCCGCGUGGA